GCUCAGAACGAACGCUGGCGGCAGGCCUAACACAUGCAAGUCGAACGAACCUUCGGGUUAGUGGCGCACGGGUGCGUAACGCGUGGGAAUAUGCCCAUAGGUAAGGAAUAACUCACCGAAAGGUGUGCUAAUACCUUAUAAUGACUCCGGUCCAAAGAUUUAUCGCCUAUGGAUUAGCCCGCGUCUGAUUAGCUUGUUGGUGAGGUAAUGGCUCACCAAGGCGAUGAUCAGUAGGGGGUCUGAGAGGAUGAUCCCCCACACUGGUACUGAGACACGGACCAGACUCCUACGGGAGGCAGCAGUGAGGAAUAUUGGACAAUGGAGGAAACUCUGAUCCAGCCAUGCCGCGUGAGUGAAGAAGGCCUUAGGGUUGUAAAGCUCUUUCAAUAGUGAAGAUAAUGACGGUAACUAUAGAAGAAGCCCCGGCUAAAUUCGUGCCAGCAGCCGCGGUAAUACGAAUGGGGCAAGCGUUGUUCGGAAUCACUGGGCUUAAAGCGUGCGUAGGCGGAUUGCCAAGUCAGGAGUGAAAUCCCGGGGCUCAACCCCGGAACUGCUCUUGAAACUGGCAGUCUAGAAUCCGAUAGAGGUCAGGAGAAUUCCUAGUGUAGAGGUGAAAUUCGCAGAUAUUAGGAGGAAUACCAGUGGCGUAGGCGCCUGACUGGGUCGGUAUUGACGCUGAGGUACGAAAGCGUGGGGAGCAAACAGGAUUAGAUACCCUGGUAGUCCACGCCGUAAACGAUGUGUGCUAGUUGUCGGGUCUUCGGGCUCGGUGACGGAGCGAAAGUAUUAAGCACACCGCCUGGGGAGUACGGCCGCAAGGUUAAAACUCAAAGGAAUUGACGGGGACCCGCACAAGCGGUGGAGCAUGUUGUUUCAUUCGAAGCAACGCGAAG
This 893-nucleotide ribosomal RNA is filed under the name uncultured organism. Its description in RNAcentral is "bacterial SSU rRNA". It matches the Rfam family "Bacterial small subunit ribosomal RNA", at positions 22 to 966 of the family's 1533-position model. The record is from RNAcentral.